Molecule: ribosomal RNA, 275 nt
Filed under: uncultured bacterium
Lineage: Bacteria
Description: partial 16S ribosomal RNA
Rfam family: Bacterial small subunit ribosomal RNA
Source: RNAcentral
GCGUGAGUGAUGAAGGCCCUAGGGUUGUAAAACUCUUUCGCGCACGACGAUAAUGACGGUAGUGCGAGAAGAAGCUCCGGCUAACUUCGUGCCAGCAGCCGCGGUAAUACGAAGGGGGCUAGCGUUGUUCGGAAUUACUGGGCGUAAAGCGCGCGCAGGCGGCUCUUUAAGUCAGGGGUGAAAGCCCAGAGCUCAACUCUGGAAUUGCCUUUGAAACUAAAGAGCUUGGGUACGGGAGAGGUGAGUGGAAUUCCGAGUGUAGAGGUGAAAUUCGU